GUCUUAACUAGUAUGCUAUGUCUGAAAAGGUUCAGAGAAGAGUAGAUAUCGAAGCAGUUGAAAGGAGAUUUUUGCAUUACCAUUGCUACAGUACUCCUUGGAGGGAGGCAGCAUGAAAGAAAAAAAGGGAAGCGAAAAGUCGCUCACAUGGAUAGUUUUUCACUUGCAGUUAUGCUCUGUUCCGAGACAAUAAUGAUGACCACAUAAACUAAUUUUCAAUAAAAAAUAAAAAAGGAAAUCUGCGUAAACAUAAC
This 254-nucleotide long non-coding RNA is filed under the name Fukomys damarensis (Damara mole-rat). Its description in RNAcentral is "lncRNA (ENSFDAG00000023141.1)". The record is from RNAcentral. Lineage: Eukaryota; Metazoa; Chordata; Mammalia; Rodentia; Bathyergidae.